AGUGAACGCUGGCGGCAUGCCUAACACAUGCAAGUCGAACGGCAGCACAGUAAGUGCUUGCUCUUACUGGUGGCGAGUGGCGGACGGGUGAGGAAUACAUCGGAAUCUACUUUUUCGUGGGUGAUAACGUAGGCAAACUUACGCUAAUACCGCAUACGACCUCCUGGUGAAUGCACCCGAUCUUCCGACCCUUCGCGAUUGAAUGAGCCGAUGUCGGAGUAGCUAGUUGGCGGGUGAAAGGCCCACCAAGGCUACAAUCCGUAGCUGGUCUGAGAGGAAGAUCAGCCACACUGGAAGUGAGACACGGCCCAGACUCCUACGGGAGGCAGCAGUGGGGAAUAUUGGACAAGGGGCGAAAGCCGGAUCCAGCAAUACCGCGUGGGUGAAGAAGGCCUUCGGGUUGUAAAGCCCUUUUGUUCGGAAAGAAAAGCAGCAGGUUAAUACGGCGGUGUUCUGACGGUACCCGAAGAAUAAGCACCGGCUAACUACGUG
This 492-nucleotide ribosomal RNA is filed under the name uncultured bacterium. Its description in RNAcentral is "partial 16S ribosomal RNA". It matches the Rfam family "Bacterial small subunit ribosomal RNA", at positions 29 to 507 of the family's 1533-position model. The record is from RNAcentral.